UCCUACGGGGGGCUGCAGUGGGGAAUAUUGGACAAUGGGCGAAAGCCUGAUCCAGCCAUGCCGCGUGUGUGAAGAAGGUCUUCGGAUUGUAAAGCACUUUAAGUUGGGAGGAAGGGCAUUAACCUAAUACGUUAGUGUUUUGACGUUACCGACAGAAUAAGCACCGGCUAACUCUGUGCCAGCAGCCGCGGUAAUACAGAGGGUGCAAGCGUUAAUCGGAAUUACUGGGCGUAAAGCGCGCGUAGGUGGUUCGUUAAGUUGGAUGUGAAAGCCCCGGGCUCAACCUGGGAACUGCAUUCAAAACUGUCGAGCUAGAGUAUGGUAGAGGGUGGUGGAAUUUCCUGUGUAGCGGUGAAAUGCGUAGAUAUAGGAAGGAACACCAGUGGCGAAGGCGACCACCUGGACUGAUACUGAC
RNAcentral lists this ribosomal RNA (415 nucleotides) under Pseudomonas sp. Its description in RNAcentral is "bacterial SSU rRNA". It matches the Rfam family "Bacterial small subunit ribosomal RNA", at positions 337 to 744 of the family's 1533-position model. The record is from RNAcentral. Lineage: Bacteria; Pseudomonadati; Pseudomonadota; Gammaproteobacteria; Pseudomonadales; Pseudomonadaceae.